This 156-nucleotide transfer RNA is filed under the name Marmota monax (woodchuck). RNAcentral's name for it is "tRNA.Ala". The record is from RNAcentral. Lineage: Eukaryota; Metazoa; Chordata; Mammalia; Rodentia; Sciuridae.
GGUUGUGGCUCAGUGGUAGAGCACUUGACUAGCAUGGGUGAGGCACGUAGGCCCACCAACGUCUAAAAACAUUUUUUUAAAAAUAAUAAAUAAAAUAAAAGUGGCUGGGGAUGUAGUACAAUGGUAGAGUGACACUGGGUUCAAUUCCCAGUACCA